This 221-nucleotide unclassified non-coding RNA is filed under the name uncultured bacterium. Its description in RNAcentral is "contains 16S-23S intergenic spacer region". The record is from RNAcentral.
CCGGUGACCUUUCUGUCCUAACGUUCGUCGUCUCGAAUCCCGGUGGUGCCGAAUUGACCGGCCUCGCUGUUUCCAUCGACGGUGUUGACGCAGGAGAUUUUCACCUCUCUGUCCCGCCCGCGCCUGCGGUGGCACCCGGCGGUUUCACGACUUUCUCCGUGAGCAGCGAUGCAGGGAACUCUGGUGGAAAAUCCCUGACAAUUCAUCUCGCCAGCAAUUCC